CCUACGGGGGGCAGCAGUGGGGAAUAUUUCACAAUGGGGGAAACCCUGAUGCAGCGACGCCGCGUGAGUGAAGAAGUAUCUCGGUAUGUAAAGCUCUAUCAGCAGGGAAGAAAUAGCGACCUUUGGGUCGCCAGACGGUACCUGACUAAGAAGCCCCGGCUAACUACGUGCCAGCAGCCGCGGUAAUACGUAGGGGGCAAGCGUUAUCCGGAUUUACUGGGUGUAAAGGGAGCGUAGACUGCAGCACAAGUCUGAAGUGAAAUGCCGGGGCUUAACCCCGGAACUGCUUUGGAAACUGUGCAGCUAGAGUGCAGGAGAGGUAAGUGGAAUUCCUAGUGUAGCGGUGAAAUGCGUAGAUAUUAGGAGGAACACCAGUGGCGAAGGCGGGUUACUGGACUGUAACUGACGUUGAGGCUCGAAGGCGUGGGGAGCGAACGGGAUUAGAUACCCUGGUAGUC
RNAcentral lists this ribosomal RNA (458 nucleotides) under uncultured bacterium. RNAcentral's name for it is "partial 16S ribosomal RNA". It matches the Rfam family "Bacterial small subunit ribosomal RNA", at positions 338 to 795 of the family's 1533-position model. The record is from RNAcentral.